CUACGGGUCGCUGCAGUGGGGAAUAUUGCACAAUGGAGGAAACUCUGAUGCAGCAACGCCGCGUGGAGGAUGACACUUUUCGGAGCGUAAACUCCUUUUAUAUAGGAAGAAGGUGACGGUACUAUAUGAAUAAGCGCCGGCUAACUCCGUGCCAGCAGCCGCGGUAAUACGGAGGGCGCAAGCGUUACUCGGAAUCACUGGGCGUAAAGAGCGUGUAGGCGGAUUAAAAAGUCAGAAGUGAAAUCCUAUAGCUUAACUAUAGAACUGCUUCUGAAACUCUUAAUCUAGAAUAUGGGAGAGGUAGAUGGAAUUUCUGGUGUAGGGGUAAAAUCCGUAGAGAUCAGAAGGAAUACCGAUUGCGAAGGCGAUCUACUGAACAUUAUUGACGCUGAGACGCGAAAGCGUGGGGAGCAAACAGGAUUAGAUACCCGUGUAGUC
This 438-nucleotide ribosomal RNA is filed under the name uncultured bacterium. RNAcentral describes it as "partial 16S ribosomal RNA". It matches the Rfam family "Bacterial small subunit ribosomal RNA", at positions 339 to 795 of the family's 1533-position model. The record is from RNAcentral.